Molecule: long non-coding RNA, 3370 nt
Filed under: Homo sapiens (human)
Lineage: Eukaryota; Metazoa; Chordata; Mammalia; Primates; Hominidae
Description: HSALNT0132664
Source: RNAcentral
GUAGACCGGAGCUGUUCCUAUUCGGCCAUCUUGGCUCCUCCCUCCACAUCUCUUAUCUCUUAUCAAUAACAGGGGAAUCCUCCUCUUUCUGCAAGGAGUGCACAAGGAUUUAAGGCCAUGUGCAGUGGCUCACAGUGUAAUCUCAGCACUACAGGAGGCUCAGACAGGAGGAUUGCUUAAGUCUGGGAGUUCAAGACCUGCCUGGGCAACAAAACGAGACCCUGUCUCUAAAAAAAUAAAAACAGGAUUUAAAAUGGAAUUCUUUCCACCCUACUGUUGGCUAAGAUUCUUCUAUUAAUUUUCUGUGGCUGCUGUAACAAAUUACCCCAAACUGGGUGGCUCAAAUUUAUAACAAUUUAUUAUUUCCCAGUUCUGGAGUCCAAAAGUCCCAAAUCAGUAUCCCUAGGAUGAAAUCAAGGUGUCUGCAGGGCCGCACUGCCUCAGGAGGCUCUGGAGGAGAAUCGAUUCCUUGCCUCUCCCAGCAUCAGGUGCCGCCAGCAUUCCUUGACGUGCGGUUGCAGCACUUUCAUCUCUGCCUUCAUGCACGCUGCCUCCUCAUCUGUGUGUCAGCUCUCCCUCUACCUCCCUGUUCUAGGGAUUCUUAUGAUUUCGUGAAGAGCCCACCCAGGCUAAUCCAGGAUAAUCUCAUCUCAAGAUCUGGGGCAGCCCUGGAGAAACACCUGAAAGAGCUCAUUAUUUUCUUUAGCAGUAGAUAGCUGAGAAAGCUCAGUAUUAUUUCUUUUUUUUGUAUUGUUUUUUUGAGAUGGAGUCUCACUCUGUCACCCAGGCUAGAGGGCAGUGGCUAAUUUUUGUAUUUUUAGUAGAGAUGGGGUUUCACCAUGUUGGCCAGGCUGUUCUCAAACUCCUGACCUCAGAUGAUCCACAGAUAUUAUUUCUUAAACAGCUUAUUUUAUUCUCUGGAUCUCUUGGUAUGCUAGCUCACAAGGACUCCUGAUGGUCCAGCAGCUUCAGAACAUUUUACCAGUUAUCAGAGGAAGAUAAAGCCUGCUCAAACCCAGAAAAAACCAGAACCAGCAACUCCUUGUUGCCUUUAGAUCAUUAACAUAUCAUUAUAAUACUAAAAGCCCCACCCAUGGAAGAAAAUCGCCGCCAUUUUCUGAACAUGCUUUGUAUGAAGAGGCAUGUUUAUGAUUUGCACCUGCACAUACUUACAAACCUCCCACAUCCAUAGCUAACGCCUUAAAAUCCCCCAGCUUCCCACAGCUUGGGGAGUAGGAGGUGUCUUGGGAGCGAGAGCUCACUCCUUCUCCUUCUCUGGCCAGAGAAUAAAUCCUGCUUGCCUUUUUUCCAAUUGGGUAUUCUUUCCCUGUGACCAAUGUAAAGUAGGAAAGGAACUCAGUUUACCAGUGACAGAUGCUCAGUUUAACCACAUUUUUUUGCCAAAUAAAGUAAUAUUCACAGGUGAGGAUUAGGACCUGUAAUAUUUGAGGAAUGUUUUCCAUUCUACUAUGGCUCCCAAAGGCCAGGGACAAACCACCAGGAGCCAGGCUAAUGCCAGACUCAAAAUGCAUCAAAGGGGUAAAUUAAAAAAAAAAAAAGAGUCAAAUGCCGUCACCUGCCUACAUGUACAGCAGGGGACACUGAGGAGGCCCAAACAGGGGUAUAGCUUGUGCAAAGUCAGCAGGAUGAGUUUCCUCCCAUCCCCACAAAGGAGGAGAGGGGACCUUUUCCCCUUUUCCCUUCCCAUCAGGCUAUGUACAGUGCUGCUGGGAACACAGGGGAGCAGGGUAGCCACUUUUAACUUGAUUUGCAUCCCCUAAAACUGUGCAGAGUGCAGACAUUGGCACCUGACUUAUUUCUGGGGAAAACUAACAGCAGAGACUGUGACCACUGGCCUGACCUAGAAGAACCGAGUGAGAGAGGGGUGGGACUGCUAUGGAUAGAGAAGAGUCUCUUAUGAACCACAUGAGAAGCCAUGGAGGACCCUGCCAGCACAGAUGGCUUCCUGGAAGGCACCAUGACCCAACAGAGGGACCGACACACAGAAGCCCCAGGAUGGAGGGAGGAAUCUUCAUAAAGCUGCUUGCCCAGAACACGGCACUGCCUGCAUCAAGAGAUUCACAAUCCAAAAGGUCCCGGAAGGGAGAGAUGUAGAACUGGUCAUCUCUACACCCCAUGUCUCAUUACAGCUGUGCCCGCCAACGAGGACUUUCUGGUCCCUUCCCAUAUCUCCUUCCCCUCAGCUCCAGCCCCAGGGAAGCCAGAAUCAAUAUCACGAGGCAGCAGGAGGAGGAAAGAAUCUCCAGUCACGGAUCUUGAGCCUCAGGCAGGCACAGAACAGAAGAGGAAAAGAACUUUGGCUUUAGAUAAAGCUUUCUGUUUUGAUGCCUACAUUGCCUUGGCCAUUUUAUUUAUUGAAAUGCUUGAUUUCCAGGAGACUCAUCUUGGAUUUUAAACAACCUAGAAGACUUUUUAUUACCAAUAGCGAUAAAGUUAUUUGAUUUGCCUGAUUUUUCAUCCAGCGUUGCAGAAUGUACAAAAUUACAACAUGGAUUCUAAUGCAUUGGAGAGAGAAAAUAAGGUCGUUUUCUGCAGGUACCUUAUCAAGGCUGGUUCAUUCACUGUAUUUGUUGUAAUUUCUUUUUAUCUUUCUAUCUCCUUUUAUUAUUUAAGCCAGAAAGCUAUAUUUCACAGAUGUUUCUAAGACACCAGGCAAGGCUACUAUCAGUAUGUGUAGCAGCCAGAGCUUCCCGCGUCUUUCUAUUUUCAAAGAUGAACUGUAAAAAUCACCUUCACAAUGUAUGUCCCUAAGCCAUAGAUUACAAAGAUUUCUGGGUCUGUGGGGAGUGCCCGUGGUUCCACAAUUAGCUGAACCCCUGACCUCGCCGCUUAACAGCAGUUCAUUUGGCUUCUAAAUGCCAUCCAGCCGGCCGAUGUCAGUUUAGAUACAGCAUUUUUCUGUAGCCUGGGAACAAAGGUCACUGUUUUCCUCAUUCUUCCGGUGCCUGGGAAUCCCCUGUCUUUUCUCACCCUUUGUAGGUGCUGCAAAUGUGUCCAUCUCUGCAUUGAUCUGCUUCUAGGGUAAGCAGCCCUCACAGUUGGAGCAGAUAAAGACAGACAAGAAUGGAAUGAAAGAGUUUUACACCAGGCUUCCCUCUUCUGUUUCUCUUCUUUGUAGACUCAGGCUGUGAACAUGAAAUUUGAAUCAAGGUGAUAAACAGCAUCAAGGUUUCCCAUAAUCUCUGGUGGGCCCAGGCACAUCAUUCUUUCCCGUUUCAAGUGUUGUCCUCGGAAUAGCCCAGGAUAGCAUCUGAACACGUGGAAAUGGCACUGGGUUAGAUGUCAAGAGACCUGCGACGUGGUCUCGGCUAAGCGCCCUAUUAUUCCCGUGGGCAUAUGAAGGCCUCCU